RNAcentral lists this ribosomal RNA (886 nucleotides) under uncultured bacterium. RNAcentral's name for it is "bacterial SSU rRNA". It matches the Rfam family "Bacterial small subunit ribosomal RNA", at positions 86 to 974 of the family's 1533-position model. The record is from RNAcentral.
GGAUGGCGACCGGCGCACGGGUGAGUAACACGUAUCCAACCUGCCGACAACACUGGGAUAGCCUUUCGAAAGAAAGAUUAAUACCGGAUGGCAUAGUUUUCCCGCAUGGGAUAAUUAUUAAAGAAUUUCGGUUGUCGAUGGGGAUGCGUUCCAUUAGGCAGUUGGCGGGGUAACGGCCCACCAAACCAACGAUGGAUAGGGGUUCUGAGAGGAAGGUCCCCCACAUUGGAACUGAGACACGGUCCAAACUCCUACGGGAGGCAGCAGUGAGGAAUAUUGGUCAAUGGACGAGAGUCUGAACCAGCCAAGUAGCGUGAAGGAUGACUGCCCUAUGGGUUGUAAACUUCUUUUAUACGGGAAUAAAGUGAGCCACGUGUGGCUUUUUGUAUGUACCGUAUGAAUAAGGAUCGGCUAACUCCGUGCCAGCAGCCGCGGUAAUACGGAGGAUCCGAGCGUUAUCCGGAUUUAUUGGGUUUAAAGGGAGCGUAGGCGGGUUGUUAAGUCAGUUGUGAAAGUUUGCGGCUCAACCGUAAAAUUGCAGUUGAUACUGGCGACCUUGAGUGCAACAGAGGUAGGCGGAAUUCGUGGUGUAGCGGUGAAAUGCUUAGAUAUCACGAAGAACUCCGAUUGCGAAGGCAGCUUACUGGAUUGUAACUGACGCUGAUGCUCGAAAGUGUGGGUAUCAAACAGGAUUAGAUACCCUGGUAGUCCACACAGUAAACGAUGAAUACUCGCUGUUGGCGAUAUACGGUCAGCGGCCAAGCGAAAGCAUUAAGUAUUCCACCUGGGGAGUACGCCGGCAACGGUGAAACUCAAAGGAAUUGACGGGGGCCCGCACAAGCGGAGGAACAUGUGGUUUAAUUCGAUGAUACGCGAGGAACCUUAC